Molecule: ribosomal RNA, 54 nt
Filed under: Limopsidae sp. LYG_YI-1
Lineage: Eukaryota; Metazoa; Mollusca; Bivalvia; Arcoida; Limopsidae
Description: partial 28S ribosomal RNA
Source: RNAcentral
AGACAGGCGUGGCUCCGGGAGUGACCCGAAGCCGCAAUGUGCGUUCAAGAUGUC